This 253-nucleotide ribosomal RNA is filed under the name uncultured bacterium. RNAcentral describes it as "partial 16S ribosomal RNA". It matches the Rfam family "Bacterial small subunit ribosomal RNA", at positions 524 to 776 of the family's 1533-position model. The record is from RNAcentral.
UACGGAGGGUGCAAGCGUUACUCGGAAUCACUGGGCGUAAAGGACACGUAGGCGGGUAGCCAAGUCUGAUGUGAAAUCCUACAGCUUAACUGUAGAACUGCAUUGGAAACUGGUUACCUAGAGUAUGGGAGGGGGAGAUGGAAUUAGUGGUGUAGGGGUAAAAUCCGUAGAUAUCACUAGGAAUACCGAAAGCGAAGGCGAUCUCCUGGAACAUUACUGACGCUAAGGUGUGAAAGCGUGGGGAGCAAACGGG